GUUUAUGUAGUUAAUGGCAUCUGGUGGAAGAGAACAGCUUUGUUUCCUCUUUAACUUUGGGAACACUAGAGGAUGGUGUGGAUAAAGAUUGCCUGCAAUAGAUGACUCCUUUUAAGCACUAGCCGUGAACAGAUGAGCCUCCUCCACACCCCAGACACACACUGGGGAGAGAUGAAGGUGAUAAGCCACACUUCCGAUUUACUCUAGAAGGGAAGACAUUACUCUCUGUCAUUAAACUAACUUAAAGCUUUUAGUGAUUUACUUAGUACUUUUAGGAAUACAAAUAGGAAUCUUUAGGAUUUAAAAAGUUUUCCAAUAAUCUAGAAGUUGGAAAAAUAACAAAGAGUGGGCAUGUUGGGGGAGGUUUUAUUUUCUAUCUUGCAGGCUCGAGUGCUUAGCUAAAUGCUGGAAAUGGACAUAGGUGGAGAAAUGGUCAGAGCAGCAGUGGGAGCGUACCCAGAACCAUGAGUAGACGGCAAGCGAGCUGCUCUGCCAAGCCAGGGAUGGAGGUGUGAGGCGGCUGGUGUGGUAGAAUAUGUUGGAAUCUAGUUAGAAUUCCUGGAUUGGAAUCCUGUCACAGUUUGUUUCAUCAGACAAAUCACUUGCCCUUUUCUAUUAUUAUUAUUUUUUUUUUUUUGAGAAAAAGUCUCACUGUUUUGCCCAGGCUGGGGUGCAGUGGUGCAAUCUUGGCUCACUGCAACCUCAGCCUCCCGAGUAGCCGGGAUUACAGGUGCAUGCCAACAUGCCCAACUCAUUUUUGUAUUUUUAGUAGAGACGGGGUUUCACCAUGUUGGCCAGGCUAGUCUUGAACUCCUGACCUCAGGUGAUCCACCUGCCUCGGCCUCCCAAAGUGCUGAGAUUACAGGCGUGAGCCACCGUGCCCAGCCAAUUCAUGCCUCAAUUUCUUUAUCUCCGGAUUGAGGGAUUUGUAUUAGAUUUUUUUUUUCCUAGUACCUUCCAGCUCUAAAAAAAUUUGAAAUAGCAUAAUAAAAGACAAAAUGAAAACGAAAUUUUAAUUGUAAUAUUUUCUGUCACAGCAGCAUAUGUAUAUUUGAAAUACUGGUAACAAUUUUAAGGUAGCAUUCUGUGGUAUUAAUAUUUAUUAAUAUGCUCAUGAACUUCUAAGUGCCACACCAGACAUAUAGACUCUUUACUUUAAAAGAGCAUAUAUUUAAGGCAUUGAAAUGGAUACAGCUAUAUUCAUUCUCAAUUGUCUUAGGCUAUUAUAUGGAAAGAUAUGUGUCAAUUAUAGGUAGGUAGGUAGGUAGGUAGAUUUUCUGGAAACACAGAAGUACUUGACGGAGAGUUAGGCCUGUAUUCUAUAAAUCUAUUAAUGGUAGCAAAGUGCAUAAGACAGGGAUUUCUUUGAGAUGAAAGGAGUGCUGAAGAAGAGCAUUGGAAUUAAUAUUUGGAUGUGGUAUUGUGAAAUUCAAUGGGUAAAGUAACCCUAAUGUGGGAAUAAAAGUCAAGGGAAAGGUCUUGAAUAAGUACACAGAAAAAUAGGCUAAAAAUAUUAAGGGGAGGGAAAUUGGAAUACAGGGAGACAGUGUGCAAGAAAGCAAGCCAGGAAUCUGCCUAUGUGGUAGACCCAACCAUUACUACUUGAACCCCCUUAGAAAAGCUUUUCCAGCAUUCCAUAACUCAGGUUCCUCAUUUAUAAAGUGGGAAACUCAUAAUUGUCCUACCUACCUCACAGGGGUGUUGUGAGGAUCAAAGGAACAGAUGAAUGUAUGAGCACUUUCAGACAUGUAAGGCACUGUCAUGUAACAAGUAGGGGAAAGACUCUGGAGCACAUUAGUGCUGGUGUGUGCCAAGCCCGUGGGCUGUUGACCGUAAGGGAUAUUCAAGUAGGAGGAGGAAGAGAAGAUGGCAUUGCUAAUAAAGGUUGUGAUACACAACCAUAGGAUUAACUGCCUCCUCAAGUCCAUCAUGUAAAUAAGGUGCUAUGUAUACCAACUUCUCACCACCUUUGUUUUUCUGUUCGGUAAUCCUGGUGUGGACAAAUAAAGUUUUCACUUGUAUGUAGUUGUGGGUCAGUCCACUACUUUGUGAUGAUGUCUGUGGUCCUUUGUUGCCUCCAUUCUCUGCUUUGCUUUCUCCUCUGCUAAGGGUCUUGCAUGUCUGCAGCCCUCGGAGCUAUAUGUGCUUUCUGUCUUCAGAGGAGAGCGGCC
RNAcentral lists this long non-coding RNA (2171 nucleotides) under Homo sapiens (human). RNAcentral describes it as "HSALNT0159349". The record is from RNAcentral. Lineage: Eukaryota; Metazoa; Chordata; Mammalia; Primates; Hominidae.